Corylus avellana is the source of this 106-nucleotide small nucleolar RNA. Lineage: Eukaryota; Viridiplantae; Streptophyta; Magnoliopsida; Fagales; Betulaceae. The record is from RefSeq and is a predicted model, not a curated record.
UAUCCAUGUGGAGGGCAUUUUAUCAACAAAUCCUUGAACCGCUCCCAACUUUCAAAAAAAUUUUCAUCCUCCUCAUGAGUGAACGAGCUAAUCUCCUUUCUACACU